AAAAAAAAAAAAAAAGACACUUUGGGAAGCUAGUUGUGGUUUUUACCCCCAAAACAUGACAGAGAAGUGAAAGAGAAAACACUGUUUUCACAAUGACUGGGAGGAAGAGUUCUUUUUCACGACAGUGAAAGAUAAAUGUAUGCGUCCUAUUUGCGGGGCGACUAUUGCGACGGCAACGCGGCACAAUGUGGAGAGACGCGACUUUAGCCGCUACAAAGCUUCCAUGCUAACUAGCCAUGCUAACUAGCCAUGCUAACUAGCCAUGCUAACUAGCCAUGCUAACUAGCCAUGCUAACUAGCCAUGCUAACUAGCCACCUGGUAGCGCACAUAGACUUUAUGCGCACUACGGACAGGAAAAUCCGGGACUUAAAGGCACGAUGCAGAGGUGAUCCAGACUUCCCGACAUUCCUACAUUACCACUGCAUCAUUCACCAGCAGGACAUAUGUAUGUACAAAAGUGGCCGGAUUUGAUCAUGUGAUGACUCGUGUCGUGAAGAUCAUAAAUGGCUCCAAAGCCAAACAACCAGGACAUUGAAGGUGCUGCUGGAGGAGCUGUUAGCUGAACAUUGUGACCUGUUACUACACACAGAAACCCCAUGGAUCAGCAGGGACCAGUUUUGCAGCGUUUUUUGUUGCUGUUGGCAGAAAUCCAAGCGUUGAUGCAAUCCAAAAGGGAAGACACCUUGCUGCUUGAGGAUACUGAGUGGAUUCUUGCCCUUGCAUUUUUAACGGACAUCACUGGGAAACUGAACCAUCUGAACUGUGACCUGCAAGAUAAAGUCCCUCUGCUCAACUGGUUUCCCUGCAUUCACUUCCAUUGGCUCUGCUACCUGUUUAGGCCACUACCACCCUGUAGCCUGGUCUCUGCCUCAUGGACUCCUGCAGUUAAGUCUUCCUGGUCUUUAGCAUUUAAUCUGUCAGCGUUGUUUCUGUUUGAUUCCUCAUUCAGUCUGUUCUUGUGUUGUACUUGGUUUUGUUCAGCCUUAGAUCUGUUUGGGGGGCUGCACAGUCGCUCGCUGGUUAGCGCCUUCGUCUUGCAGCUCGAAGCUCCCCGUUUUGCAUCCCGACCUGGAAUCUUUCUGCAUGGAGUUUGCAUGCUUUGUCUGUGCAUGCAUGGGUACUCUGGCUUCCCCCCAUAGUCCAAAACAUGCUGAGGUUAACUGGUAACUCUUGUCUCUAUGCGUAGUCCUGCGAUAGACUGGCGACCUGUUUUUGGUGUUCAGUUUCUGCUGUUAACUUAGUCUUUAGUUUGGUUUGUCUAGUUGCUCGCUCUCCAUACCUCACUCCCUGGGCUUAUUUAGUGUACCUGAUUUGCUUCCCUGUAAACAAUUGUGCACCUGAUUAUGUUCAUGUCCUGUAAAUAAGUACUUUUUCACUUAAUCUCUGGUUUGCUUGUCCUCACUAGUGUCUGCAUUUCCCAAAGAUAAGCUGUGACAAAGGCCUUAUUCAAAAAUGUUUUAAAACUCCAAUGAUUCUUAUUUUCAGGCGAUUAUACACUCAUGAAAACAUAAAUGUGAGCAAUGCAUUUUACUACAGCCAACGGAGCCUCCUAAAUCUUUAAUUUUCCUUUUAAAGAGCAAAAAUUGUAAAAGAAAAAAAUCAAACGUUUCAGUAGAUUUUUAUUUAUGACUCUUGAUUACAUGAACAUCCACCAAAUAACAUAAAAGUUGCUUCCAGUAAUGUUCUACUGUUGAUCAAAGUGACGUUUAACAAGAAAUCUGACUGUUUUAUAAUGCCCUAAAAGCACCACAGAGAUGGAAAAACUGAAGAUGAAGGUUUGAGGAGCAUUAAGACAGCAAGAUAUUUGGUUAAUUGUUACGACUGCGGUCGUUAUUGUAGUUUCCUGUGCUGUGUCCUUUUUAUGUCCCUAUCAUGUAUGCAAAUAGGGCUGCGCCGCACCACGGUCACGGUUGGACGCCAGGAUGACGGCUCGGCACUGGAUUGGUUGGCUGUACCAGGAAGCCCGAGAUAUAAAGGCGGAACCGUGACGUCGUCUCCGGGGGUCAGAGGGCCAGAGGGCGUGGCUACAUCCUACCCUGCUUCCAACCUACACGUCAGCACACUUGGGUUCCAGUGAUCAGCUGUGAUUUAGAGAUUUAAUAUUGAGUGAUCGCAGUGAGCAGCCACCUUUUGUUUAACCGUUUUUUUCUCAUGUUUAAGUUAGGAUAGGGAGGUUAGACUUUGUUGUUCUUUUUACCUUUUUGUUUUUGGCAGAUCAGUUUUGGGUUAAUAGCUUAGUGGCGUUUUGUUUGUUGUUUUGGUUUUGCUCACUGUCGCUUUCAGUUACCAGUCCCCCAUUGUUUCAGUUCUUAAAAUUUGUUGAGAAAUAAAUACCUAAUCUUUUUGCGAAAACGUGUGUUGGAAAUGCUUGGGACAGGGGAAGGAUGCCUCUUCGUUUCUAUCGUAUUUGUGUGAGUCAGCUAGAGCUGACAUUAUUCAGUUGAUAGAGGACAAUUUACUCCUCUUUUCGGAUCAUCCUCGUCAAACGUGUGUGUUGUUCCAUGAUAUUCAUGUGCAGGGUCAUCCUCCUAUCAAACACAUGUAUACAGGGUUAAUCCGACAAAAAGGGCCCUAAUGCAGCAGGAGGUGAGCUAUCUUGUGGAACAUGGGUUAGCUGUCCCAGCAUCAGCGCAUGGAGCUCUCCAUGUGUGCUGGUUCCGAAACCAGACAACACUCAUCGUUUUUGUAAUGAUUACCGAAAGGUAAAUGCAGUCACAAUACCCGACUCCUAUCCGUUGCCACGGAUGGAGGAUUGUAUAGACCGGGUGGGUUCUGCCAGAUUUGCGACCAAACUGGACCUUCUAAAAGGCUACUGGCAGGUUCCGUUAACGCCCCGUGCGUCAGAAAUAUCCGCAUUUGUUACUCCUGAUGCUUUCCUCCAGUACACUGUUAUGCCAUUUGGGUUGAGAAACGCUCCCGCUACUUUCCAGCGUCUUAUGCAUGUAGUUCUGGUUGGAGUGAAAACCUGUGACGCAUAUCUGGAUGAUGUAGUGGCUUAUUCCUCCACAUGGUCAGAGCAUCUGAAGACGUUAUCUGAGAUAUUUAGUCGUUUAGGAGAGGCAUCUCUCACUCUUAACCUCGCAAAAUGUGAAUUUGGGAAAGGAACUGUGACUUAUCUGGGGAAACAGGUGGGUCAGGGCCAGGUUCGUCCAGUAACAGCCAAGGUGCAGGCUGUAGUAGAGUUCCCUGUUCCUCAGUAGAAACGAGCGUUGCGCCGUUUUCUUGGUAUGUGUGGGUAUUAUCGAGGAUUCUGCAGAAAUUUUUCAGAGGUUGUCGCUCCUCUUACUGCCCUAGUUAGUCCGUUAAGAAAUUUUGUGUGGACCCCCGCUUGUCAAGCUGCUUUUGAGUCAGCCAAAGCUCUGUUAUGUAGCGCUCCUGUUCUUGCUGCGCCCGAUUUUGCGCGUCCUUUUAAUUUGGAGGUGGAUGCUCGUGUGUGGGGUGCAGGCGCUGUUCUCCUGCAGGAAGACGACCAGAAACUCGACCAUCCCAUCUGCUACUUUUCUAAAAAGUUCAACAAGCAUCAGGUACAUUAUAGUACCAUAGAAAAGGAAGCACUGGCCUUGCUGCUCGCCCUGCAGAACUUUGAAGUUUAUCUAGGUUCUAGCUCACAAACAGUUCAGGUUUUUACGGACCAUAAUCCUCUAGUGUUUCUCUCUAGGAUGAGAAAUUGCAACCAGAGGCUCAUGCGUUGCUCUCUUUUGCUGCAAGAUUUUAACUUGCAGAUUCGUCAUAAGAAGGGUUCUGAAAAUAUAUUGGCUGACACUCUGUCAAGGUCCUAUUUGAAUUAAAUACCUUAGAGGGGGUAUUUAAUUCUUGGGGAAGGGGGUGUUACGACUGCGGUCGUUAUUGUAGUUUCCUGUGCUGCGUGUCCUUUUUAUGUCCCUAUCAUGUAUGCAAAUAGGGCUGCGCCGCACCACGGACACGGUUGGUCGCCAGGAUGACGGCUCGGCACUGGAUUGGUUGGCUGUACCAGGAAGCCCGCGAUAUAAAGGCGGAACCGUGACGUCGUCUCCGGGUCAGAGGGUCAGAGGGCGUGGCUACAUCCUACCCUGCUUCCAACCUACACGUCAGCACACUUGGGUUCCAGUGAUCAGCUGUGAUUUAGGGAUUUAAUAUUGAGUGAUCGCAGUGAGCAGCCACCUUUUGUUUAACCGUUUUUUUCUCAUGUUUAAGUUAGGAUAGGGAGGUUAGACUUUGUUGUUCUUUUUACCUUUUUGUUUUUGGCAGAUCAGUUUUGGGUUAAUAGCUUAGUGGCGUUUUGUUUGUUGUUUUGGUUUUGCUCACUGUCGCUUUCAGUUACCAGUCCCCAUUGUUUCAGUUCUUAAAAUUUGUUGAGAAAUAAAUACCUAAUCUUUUUGCGAAAACGUGUGUUGGAAAUGCUUGGGACCAGGGGAAGGAUGCCUCUUCGUGUUACGCACAGUGACCCCUCGGCUGGGCGUAACACAAUCUCUGUGUAAAUCACAUUCAUUGUGUUUUAUACUUUGUUUUUAAAGCUGAGAUAUGUCUCAUUGUUAAUCACAAAAUUGUAAAUUACACUUUACUUGUUUUGAAUCGUUAACUUUAUUUUCAAAUCAUGUAAAUAUGUUUCAUGUAAAAGAUGUACGUAGCAAUCGUUAUGUCCCUUUUUGGUUUGUGGACUACUGUACUGAAACCUAAAGUUUGGCUUCUAAACAUUG
Long non-coding RNA from Amphiprion ocellaris (clown anemonefish), 4677 nucleotides. RefSeq lists it as uncharacterized. The transcript is spliced from 2 exons. The record is from RefSeq and is a predicted model, not a curated record. NCBI's taxonomy places the organism in Eukaryota, Metazoa, Chordata, Actinopteri, Pomacentridae.